RNAcentral lists this ribosomal RNA (754 nucleotides) under Carbonea vitellinaria. RNAcentral describes it as "SSU rRNA". It matches the Rfam family "Bacterial small subunit ribosomal RNA", at positions 391 to 1176 of the family's 1533-position model. The record is from RNAcentral. Lineage: Eukaryota; Fungi; Ascomycota; Lecanoromycetes; Lecanorales; Lecanoraceae.
GCUAAUUGCAUCAAUGUUUAAAUAAUUGAUGCAAUAUCGACUAUGUCGAAUAAAAUUCUAGGUAGAAUUAUGAUAAUGACAUUGUCUGCCUAUGUGUCUUGACCAAAUUACGUGCCAGCAGUCGCGGUAAUACGUAGAAGACUAGUGUUAUUCAUCUUUAAUAGGUUUAAAGGGUACCUAGACGGUAUAUCAAGCCUGCAAUAUGGGACUAAUGUACUAGAGUUACAUACGAGGGGGUUUAAAAGUACUGCUGGUGUAGAGAUGAAAUUCAGUCAUACCUUAUUUUGUAAGAAAUAGUACGGCACAGGUAUAGGUGAAAGCAUCUCCUUAUGUGAUAACUGACGUUGAAGGACGAAGGCUUUUUGUAGCGAACAGGAUUAGUUACCCCAAUAGUCAAAGCAGAAAAUGAUGAAUGUCAUAGAUUAGACAUAUAAUAGUUUAUUCUAUAAAUGAAAGUGUAAGCAUUCCACCUCAAGAGUAAUUUGGCAACAUUGGAACUGAAAUCAUUAGACCGUUUCUGAAACCAGUAGUGAAGUAUGUUGUUUAAUUUGAUAAUCCGCAAAAAACCUUACCACAAUUUGAAUAUUUAGAUUAUUAUUCCCUUUUUUAACAAGAAGGGAGGAGAAAUCUAUUUACAAGCGUUGCACGGCUGUCUACAGUUAAUGUCGUGAGAUUCUGGUUAGUUCCAUUAAUUAACGUAAACCCUUACUUUAUUUUUAUAUAGAGUUGUUCCCCGCUAGAUUGGAUAAGAUAA